This 1522-nucleotide unclassified non-coding RNA is filed under the name Leishmania donovani. RNAcentral's name for it is "gene:unknown". The record is from RNAcentral. Lineage: Eukaryota; Euglenozoa; Kinetoplastea; Trypanosomatida; Trypanosomatidae.
ACGUUGCCUGUGAUGAAAGCAACCACACUGCUGCUCUUAACGACGUGUGUGUGUGUGUGUGUGUGUGUGUCACGGUAGCCUAUGAUCCGUUCUAAUGGACGUUACUCCAAAUGAGGGCAUCACCGUCUCUGCGCUACGGUCGCGACUGAGCGAUCUGCAAACGCUAUGGGGCACGGCGACGAUGGAGGAGGAGUAUCUACCUCACAGUGGCAACGUCACGGCCUCGACGAUACGGACAGCCACAGAAGAACCGCACGACGGAAAUGUAUCUCAUGUAUGCCAACGAGAUCACUGCACACCACACCCUGUGGCGCAGGGGCCUGCGAAGCCGUCAACGCUGCCGCUCAUAUCACCGCGGCCGUUCCAAAGUCACGGCCCACCCACAUUCGCUCUGAUGAAUAAUGAAGGCAGAGAUCAAGCGUGCCACAGCUCCGUGAGUGCCCCACCUGAGCCGCUCGCCCCCGUCGGCAUGUUCUUGACCUCGCACACUCCCUCCACACGAUCAACAGGCACUCCACAAGCUCGACCGCGCUCCGUCGCUAGUACGCCGCCGACUUCGUCGCCUGCUCGCACCUCUCACGAGGCGAUAGCUCUUCCACCCAUUCAAACUCACUUUGUUGGCACCACGGCGGCGACGUGUGCACACUGUGGCGCCAAAGAAGCACGCGCACCAGACGCCCACUGAGGUCGGUGCGGCAAGCGGCUAACAAUCGUCGGGUAAGCUUCAGGUGAAGCGCAGGAAGCCGCUCUGCACAGCCACCCUUUUGGAAUGCCGGUGCAUAAGUGGUAUUCUGUUCUCUGGAGUGGCUCUCCAUCCUUCUUCAUAGCCCUCCUCUCUCUUUCUCCCUCCCCCCUCCCCUCGCAGUUGGAGACGGCGGCGGGUGAUUCGGGGAAGUGGGCACCGUCUUCCUCGUCAUCACUUCCCCUCCUCCGCUUGUUCUGCGCAACAUGUACAUUAGCACUGGCUCGAACGUCUUAUAUAUAUAUAUAUAGUUUUUUUCUGUGCUUGUGAGCGUCUGUGACCCGAGAGCCGCUUCGCACACACCUCAGCGAAUGGGAGGGACGCGUUCGAAUGUGCAUCCUUUUCUCUCUCGUCUCCUUCUCAGUAGGGAAAAGUGCACGCAAAAGCGAGAGCCAUUCGAAGCUCGGCCGGGGGUCGUCUCUCGGAUGGUGCCGAAGCUGUAAAGGCACACGCAGCCCCUCUUGCGCUGUCACCGGUGGUACCUGACUCAGCAUCGGUGUGCGAUGCAACCUCCCUCCCUCCUCUCCUGUGGUGUCGUUUUUUUUUUUCGCACGUCUGCGUCAUCCUCCUGGCAAGUCGCGCUAUCAACCAAAGCGCGCUGGAAAAGCAGCAACGGAGAGAGGAGGAGAGGACGAGCAUGUAGUUCCCUCUGUCCAUCACGCCUGCCCCCUCCCCACCACACACACAAGCCUUUGUCUCGUUCUCUUUAUGGUCCCCCUUGCCUCCCCUCUCUUGCCACACACAUACGCGCGCGCUGCCGGCCACCACGCUUCCUGGCAG